This is a non-coding RNA of Peromyscus maniculatus bairdii (prairie deer mouse), 1631 nucleotides long. Lineage: Eukaryota; Metazoa; Chordata; Mammalia; Rodentia; Cricetidae. The record is from RefSeq and is a predicted model, not a curated record.
AGUGUGCAGGCAGUAAACUCCCAGCCACCCCUAGCUCCCUCACCUCUGCCUGCCUGUAGAGAGUGUGUAUUUUCACCUUCUGUGAGAGCCACAGGAGCCUGUCCUGCAUGCUAAUACCAUCCCUGCCUGUCUUGGCCCUGAGUCUGUUCCAAGCUUCAGUGAGGGAGUCUUCUGCCCACUCAGAGCCUCUCCUGCCCAGUCUGCUCACUCUGGGAACCUACCUCCCAGCUUGGGUAAUUAGGGAAGGUGCCUGAAGGCUACAGUUAUCAUCCUUGCCUCGGUACAACUUCCCAUCCAAUCAUCCUGUCCUGCUACAGAAGUUCACUGCUGAGAAGAUGAAGGUCAGUGGGGAUGGGGCAGACUCAGGCCAUAUGUACACAGUUCAAAUACUGGUCUAUCAUUUCUGAGACUGACUUUAUCAUCUAGAGUCUCUUAUCAUGAGCUUGUAUUGUGCCAUCUGCAGUACCCAGGUCUUGGGGAACAGAUCUGUUUGAAAUUUUGCCCUCCAGCCUGUCCCUUCACCAUCAUUAAACACACCUUGAAGUGGGAUUUACCAGAAAGCAGAAAGCCAUGAGGCUUCCCCUACCUCUUCUCAUCAUGGUAGUUGAUGACUUCUGAGCUGUCACUCACUGGAUAGCAGUGUAACAGCAGUCCAUCCUGUCCCAUUUGGAAAGUGGAGUCCUGGUGCUGACUCUGCCUCAACUGUUGUCACCUUUUCUAACAAACACAAGUGGAGAAAAUGAGUAGAAAAUAAUGGACAUAUCCCCCUCUGAGAAUACCACUUCCCAGUCUCCCACUGUCCUUUGCCUUCAUGCCUCUCUCCUUCCCUGAAAGUUUAUCCCUCAAGGCUGGUCACAGAUUUCCAGCAACUCCUUCUAAUUCAGGGUCCUUAUUGUUGGGUUUCCUUUUUAUUCUUCUUUUCCAUGGAUGCUUUUUUCCUGCCCUAACAUGACAUUUGAAGGAUAGUGGGAAGGAGUCAUCUUAGAGAUCUGUGGAGUUAGUCAAGGUAUCACAGUGUUCCAUUCCUCUAUCUUAUUGCAGAUGGAAACCUAUACUUAAGAACUGUGGCAUGCAAAAAGAAAAAGAACAAAACUGAGAUAACAUCUUUUUCUGCUGGUCCUCAACCAAUCAAAUCUCAGUUAUAAAAGAAAAACUGUGGGGAGAUUCUUCCUGUGAUUUCUAAUUGAAGUGUUAGCAUUUUGCUACCCUCAAAGCCAAACAAGAUUUAGGGAGGGUGGCCUCAAUUAAACCAGCUAUCUAAUCACAGAGCUUGAAAUACUUUUCAUGUCUGCAUCAGCAGAAUCUGGAAGAAGAGAAGUUAUACAGUUGCCCAGCAGAGAUGCCCCUUUGCUGUCUCAGCCUGGAUGCCUGUGGCAACAGUUUCAGUAGGAACAGCCCACCUGCAAGUCUUCCUGUCAGCAUCAUUGGAUCCUGGGAACCCACAAUUUCCUGCUCUUCUCCAAGUUCUGGAUAGCCAAACCACAAGGAAACCCUCUAAGGCAGAAAGCCACGAGUUGAUCAUGAAAAGUACCAGGGAAGGGCCAAUGGGAUGGCUAGGUGGGUGGAAGGAAAGAGCUGACUCCUCCUAAUUUGUUCAUUGACCUCCAUAUGAACAGAAUGACAGAAUGGCA